This is a long non-coding RNA of Hirundo rustica (Barn swallow), 5902 nucleotides long. RefSeq lists it as uncharacterized. The transcript is spliced from 8 exons. Lineage: Eukaryota; Metazoa; Chordata; Aves; Passeriformes; Hirundinidae. The record is from RefSeq and is a predicted model, not a curated record.
GGGGCGCCUCCCCUCAGCCUCAACCCGCCAAAACGAGCGGGGAGGUUCCUGUUGCUUUUUGUCGAAAGCCUCAAUUAAAAUUAAUCCGGGAAGGCAACAAUAAGGAAGGAAAUGAAGGGAUAUAUAUAAAAAUAUAUGUGUACUGCGGUAUCAUUACUUGUCGGUGGCUAUUAAGGGAGUCCUGCUGUCUGGAAAUUGGCUUUGCCUCCCAGGAAAGCUGAGGAAAGCACUGCCCUAGUUAAUGCUGCUGUAGCUCUUGGGAGAGGCUUGGAAUGGAACAGAUACAGGUUUUCUUUUGAAAUAUGCUCUUGAAUAAAUUAGUUUGCGUCCAGAAAUGGCAUCUGUUUUCCCUGGCUCAGAUAUUUUUCUAGAAAAAGUGUUUAGGUAUGCAGCUCACACAGAAAGUGGGACUAAUAUGUGAGCAGCUUUGAAAGUCGGUGCUGUGUUGAGUUAGAACAGAAAUGCCGGUUUAAUUCCAAAGUUUAAAUACAGCAAUACCGUGGGGUCAGGAGAAGGAAAGGAUGGGCCCUUAUAGAUCUUAUGAAGUGAAAAAUUAAAUGUUUGGAAGAGUUAAGUGGCCUGGCGUUCAGUGACACCAUCUAACAACAGACCUUCUCUUUUAUUUUCAAGGAAGAAGCUGAGAACACUGGCUGCACCUCUGUGUCUCUUGGAGGUCACUCGCUGAUUUAUCUCUAAUUCACAGCUCAUUAGAAGGUGUGUAACUCUUCAGAGAUGUUGUUAUUUAACAGGAAGGAGCAAUUCCCGUGGUCAUCAGAAGCAAGUGUGGAAGCUGUUUCCUGAACCGGGCUUUCCUUGUAGUGACACUGGAGGAUCUGUUAAGUGCAGUGACUCGAACAUUAUUCAGCUGUUCAAGAAUUUCGGGAGCUUUAUCAGUUACCAGCGAGCUCAUCACGGCAGCCAGCUGAAAGUUAUUAUGUAAAAUGGGUAAAUUGGAGUCUUUAAAGGAGCUGCCAACUUGCAUUUGCCUGAGUUACUUCAGCAGUGGAGAGGAGAGGAAGAAUUCCAGACACGUCAUCCUGAUUUCACAAGUCUGCAGAGAUCUCCAGAGUGGACUUACCCAUCUGUGUGAGGAGGAAGGCUAUACAUGCAAAUUUGGAUUCCUGAUGCAUUCCCACUAACUCUGCCCUUCUGUUCUGGCAGCAUUAGGAAGAACUGUGGGUGAUUGCUUUGAGUCUGUAAGGUCAUCAUGGUUGAAGGCGUGAAGAUGAGGACAUCAAAGCCUUUGCCCACUUAUGACAAUUACCUGGAGACAAACGCAGCCCAGAAGACAAAUGUUAUGUGGUACCUGUAAGUUCUGGUUCACCAAACAAAUGAGAAUCCGGAGGUACUUCUGAACUUGGAAAUGAAAUUUAUUCUCGAGGUGGAGCCUCAUCUCAAGUAGCCUUGGGAUGGCCAAAGCUGCUUCCUUUUCCAGUUCACUGCCUGGAUUUUAGGAGAUACCAUUUUUUAGCCUCGAAACAAGGAAAUCACAGCUAUUUCCAUGGGAAGAAUCACAGAGAUGACAGGGCUUCCCCCCAGAACACUGCCUGUGUAAUUGCUGAAGACAUUCCAAGCCAGUCUAACGAAGUGCUGUCUGCCAGUCAUUAUGUUCUCCUUGGAGGACCAUCUGUUGCACUUCAAAUAUGUAAAGGUCUCUAUCAUUUAUUGCUGCAAACAAAUCCAGGCCUUUGUCUGACGUGCUGGAGCUCCCGGAUGGAUUCUAAAGGUGGAUUCAGUCACAAAGGGCAGGCUAUUCCCUUUGGUUGUAUUCCUUCAGCUCGAAUUUCAGAGCACAAAUGUACUGAUUAAACCAAUAUCUGAAUAUUUUCUACUUCUUUAGAAAUGAAUUGUGAACAGCAACUAAAAAGAUCUGAAAUACGUGGGGUUUUUUGUUCAGCCAGGAGGACACUGGAAGAUUUUUGCUUCUGAUGAACAAAUUUUUCCAUUGUAGUGGUAUCCAGAUUUGAUAUAUGCUGAGAUUGGAAUGAAAAUUACCUUAUUUUGACUAAAUUCUUUAAUUAGCUUAUUUGUAUCUGAAACUAGUGAGUCAAAGGAAUAGUAAAAAAAAAAAGUCAGCAGCUUAAAAUGCUCAAACCUUCCUUAGCACAUGUCCUUUACAAGGAUGUAAUACUUGGUUGUACAGUCAUUAUUUAUAGAUUAAUUAGGAUCCUUUCCAUGAGUAAAAUGAGCAAGAUCAGGCAUUAAAAUAUGCUGGUUUUUGUUUUUCCUGCUGCAGAUUUUAAAGAGCUGUACAGUCAGUUUGGAGAGCAUGAGCCUUGUGUUUUCACAGCGGAAAAGUUCUGUUCAGAGAUUCCCAGCCAGAGGAAUCCAUAACAAUUUCUGUCUGAUUAGGGAGUGGUCCUAUCUUUUUCCCUUUCUCCUCUUUCCCUUCUCCUUCCUGCACAGCAGCUAAUGUUCUGGUCAGAAGUAAUAAUAUGUUAGAUCUUGAAUGUCAGCAGCCCCAGAGAUUCUGACAAGACUAUUCAUGUGCAUUCAUACGUCUUAACCAAAGCUGACACUAAAGAGAGCAAGAAUUCUCAUAUUCCUCUUUUUAUUGCCGUGCAUUAAACCCAAAUCUUCUCUUGGAGACCUCUGCUAGAAAUGACACAUUCACCAUUUGAAAAAGGCAUUUUAGCAAGGUCUAAACAAAGCAGCUGGACAUCAAUCUGGCACAGGGCAGGGGCUCCUGUGAGAGCUCACAUUGCAAAGCUGAACUCUGCUUUACACCUUACAAAUGUUGUGAGAUAAAUACUAAUGGGAAAUAACCGUUCCUCCGAAUCUUUCUAAAUUUCAAUUAAAAAUCAAGUGAUUUAUUUAUUUAUUUAUUUAAACCAUAGGACAUGUCUUUAUAGGAAUAUUUGGAUUCUGGAAAUUCAGGGUUGUUUUCUGACAGAAACACUAAGUGAAUAUUCUGCUCUGCCUUUUACUCUGGACAUAUUUUACACACACUUGUAGGAUGGUGCACAGCACAUGUUUGGGUAAUUUUGCAGGGAUUCUGAUUAAGCUGUUAAAGCCAGGUAGGUAAUUUUGCCAGCAAUGAUAUUUUUAAUCUUCUUUUUUAAAAUGGUUUGGUAGUAGUGACUAAGGCAGACUAGGUGGCUCUGGGCAGCUCGCCAUUUUUAGGUAGUUUAAUUUGUUAAAAAUUAUCUUUCUUCCCACCCAAAUCCCCUUGAAACCAUUUGGAGAAGAGAACUGUUGAACAGUUGCCAGUAAUAAGUCCUGCUGAGACCUCUGUAUCCUCCUGACAGAAAUGUUGGUGCCAACUGGAGACUGACUGGCACGAGUUUGAACUCUACACUGCUUGAUAUAUUUACUUCACAUGCACCAAUUACAAUAAUUACCACCUCUGCAGCUGAAGUUUAAGCGCUGCAGGUCUGCACUCCAUACCUCAGAUGGUUGGCAGUAUGUUCAAUCCUAUAAUCUCCAUUUUCUUGGAAUAAUUACGUAGAAAAUAAGGAGAGAGUCUGAAUGGGAAUCAGAGGCUGAAUAAUAGAGUUGUUUGUCAUGUUGCUAUUGUUAAGCUUCAUUUAUUUCUAUUUAAUCUUUCUUUCUAAAAGGCAGCAUCUUCUUUUGCCUGCAGAGAUCCACCAGGAGCUGCUGUAGUCCAUUGACUUUUAUAUUCAGCAGUGGAGUAUCUCUUGAUGUGAAUGAAAAGGCAACAUGAACUCCUACUUUGUUUAGAUGUUUUAAAAAUAUAAAUAUUCCUUUCAAAAGAAAUGCUUUUGACUAGAAGGGGAAAUCGCCCAUCCCUUACUCCUUUUGGCUGGGUGUUUCCAUGUGAGAUUGUAGGGAUUUAAAUCCCAGGAUUGGCUUUAACUGCCCAGCUCCUGUCAAUUCCACUGGUUUAAAUCUGAUGCAAUGGGGACCAUCUCUCCAAUCCCUGUUGGCUUUCCAAGAGACUGGUUAAUUUUUAAAUUGGAUCAGCAACAUUUAAAAAAAAAAAAAAAAAAUCUCCAAAAAUGGUUACGUUUCUAUUGCAUAAAGAUAAACCUUAGACUGAGCACAAACUGACUUGCCUGUAGCUUUCCUAAUAUGAUUGCACUGCACAGAGUAGAUACUAAAAUUUAUAUUAAAAUUUCUUCAUGCAACUUCCCUCUGGGGAGAGGAAGAGGGAAGGAAAAAGCUUCAUGUGACAGAUGCUAAUUAUGCAGCUUAAUGCACUUCUGGAAGUUGCAGAGAUGAGAACUCUAUAAGAACCUAUCUACAAAACAAAGCACAUUUUCAACAGCAUUUUUUCCUCAAUUCUUUUUUAAUCUGCCUCCCCUCUGUUUUCCAGGAGACUUUAUUUCCCAGAGAAAUACAAAUUACAAAGGGCAAGCAGUGUCUCGGGUGCAGAAUUCUCCAGACGUGGAUGUGAUUGUUCUCCACUGUGUCUUACUCUUCUGAGGUGCUGUUCAUAGAACUGGGAAAGCUUCAAGGUUCUGAGCCAGGAAGAGUUUGAGCUCAAAGUUCCCUUCUUGAUGCGUUAGUUUUUUUUCCUCUUUAGUGGAUAUUUUAUCAGUUCCUUAUCCUGUGUUUAGGGUUACUGGAAAAAUGAUGUUCUGCACUUGUGCUGGGAUCCUCUAGAAGGAUUUCUAGUGAUGAACGUGUCAAGAUCCCAAAAUGCAUUACAUAGAGAGGUGAACUGGGACACAUGAACUGAGUUCCUCAAAACUGGGAGGUGCAGCCACACCAAAUCCAGUGUUAGACACUAAUCCUCUCCUCCAGACCCUGAGCUGUGCUGUUUGAGGGAAAAGAAAUCGGAAAAUUUGGUGUUAUCAAGAACCAUCGUCCUGGAUGUCCAAAUCCACCACACCCCUUUUACCAAAUGAUUCCUUUUCCUCUUAGUGAUAGAUCCAUACCAGCUCUUGUGUACUUAAUGCCAAAUGCUGCUUUCCCUGAUUUCCAUCAUAUCCUUGGAUUUCUCCGCUGGGGAGGAGUGACUCGAGAACCUUUGCUGCAGGGACAUCACGGUGGCGCUGGGAGCUCCGAGGGGCACCCAGGAAUGCUCCUCACAGCCCCUGGCUGCAGCCAGCCCAGGGAAAACCAUCUGUUCCCCUUGGAAAGGGGUUUGCUUCCCCCCGGAGCCCUCCCCCCGCGUCCCGGCCCCGGCCCCAGCUGCCGUGUUUCGAUGAGCACCGAGGGAAUGAAUCUCCUGCGUUUAAAAAUACUCUGCUUCUAUUUAGAUGAAAAGAAGAAUCUUGCUUGCCUACACUGGCAUACAAAAAUAGGCUCAGUGUGAGUAAAUCUUCAAAGUUUCUCUUGGUGAAUAUAUCUAGCCUCACUUCUUUCUUUUUUUUAACUUAUAAGUUUAUUUAUAGAGUGUCCUUCUUUCCUCCUACUCUAUCGAGACAUUUGCAGAAGGUUGUUGCUCGUCUUGUUCAGGAGUCCUGAAAUAAUUUGCAGGGCCUUUGAAACAUCAUCGUGUUGCAUAGUUGUGAUCAACGUGCUGCUGUUGCAUGAACGUAUCAUAUUUUAAUGUGAAUGUCAGGUUAGCCGAGACAUUCAGGGCUUUCUUUUCCUCUAGGUGCUUUACACUGGUUUGUGUUUUCACUUGAACGCUGCAGUAAAAAUUCUGCAUAUAGUAACUUAAAAUUUUCCAUUCUACAUGCAAGGCAUUGCCUAGAAAAUUAAUGUGUAAUAUGAGAGGAUUAGUAAGAUGCAUACACUUUCCAAACAUCUCUUAAAAAUAGCUUUCGCUGUCACUGUAGCAUCUAAAUUCUGAAUAAUCUCACAGUCCUUCUGCAAAUCUGUGCAAGUAGUAACAGAGAAGCCACCUACUUCAUCCUCUUGAACUGCACAAUAUGGAUCUGGGCAUGGAAAAACUGGCUUUUGGAGUAGGACUCUGCUUUGGCAGAGAGGCAGUCUGUGAGACUAGUGAGAGCACUAACGCUUGCAUUAAAUAUUAAAGUCAGCUUUCACA